AUGAUUCUAAACCCCUGGAAAGAGUUUUAGGCACAAGAUUAAGAGGCAGAUAGAACUGGAGGUCAUAUCUUAAAUGAAACAAGCCAAGCAAAGAAAGUCAAAUAUCACAUAUUCUCACUCCUAAGUAGGGACUAAAAAAUGUGUACACAUGGAUGUAGAGAAUGGAAUGAUUGACAGCAAUAUAGACAUACAGAUGACCCAACAUGGAAAAUAAUAUAUUGUAAAAGUCAUUCAGUUGUGGGGAGAUGUGCAGAGAGGAUUUUAUUUGGACUUGUUAUAAAUAAGCAAGAUUGUGUCGACAAUCUAGAGAGCCUCUGAAGUGUAACUACCCUUUCAGCAUUUCAGAAGACCAUACACUAUUCCCGUUGAUGAGACUAUACAGGAUGAACAAAACAGAAAAAAAAUUGUGUCCUCAUGGAGCAGACUGCAUAAAUUUUAUUCAGAAAAGAUAUGCUACAGAAGGUGACAGUGUUGGAGUGGAGUGACUGAAAUUAUACAUAUAGCCACAGGGAUAAAUUGAUUUUUGAAUAAAAUUCUGAAUGAGAAGUUAUAUGAAGCAGGCCUGGCACGGUGGCUCAUGCCUGUAAUCCCAGCACUUUGGGAGGCUGAGGAGGACGCAUCACCUGAAGUCAGGAAUUUGAGACCAGCCUGACCAACAUGGAGAAACCCCAUCUCAACUAAAAAUACAAAAUUAGCCUGGUGUGGUAGCGCAUCCCUGUAAUCCCAGCUACUCAGGAGGCUGAGCCAGGAGAAUCACUUGAACCCAGGACACGGCAGUUUUGCAUUAUUGUUUUGUACUACUAAGCUUUGACACUAACUAUGGGGAAGAUCUAAAAUUAAUAUACAACCAUACCUCAAACAUAUUGCAGGAUCAGUUCCAGACCACUGCCAUGAAGUCAAUAUUGCAACAAAGUGCCCAAAAAUCAUGGUCUAGUUUUCCCUGCUUUCACCCUCACAACUGGAGGGUUCAUGGAGCUCUCCAGGGGAUGACGAUUGUGCCAUGCAGAGCAGCAUUUCUUAGCAAGUGUGAGUUCAUGUGAGUAGAGCCAAACACGGGUCAAAUUUCCAUUAAAAAAACUAUGAGUUCCGCGAGGUGCAGUGGCUCAU
RNAcentral lists this non-coding RNA (1107 nucleotides) under Pan troglodytes (chimpanzee). Lineage: Eukaryota; Metazoa; Chordata; Mammalia; Primates; Hominidae. The record is from RNAcentral.